UACGGGGGGAGCAAGCGUUGUUCGGAUUUACUGGGCGUAAAGGGCGCGUAGGCGGUCGUGACAAGUCACUUGUGAAAUCUCCGGGCUUAACUCGGAACGGUCAAGUGAUACUGUCGGACUAGAGUACAGAAGGGGCAACUGGAAUUCUUGGUGUAGCGGUGAAAUGCGUAGAUAUCAGGAGGAACACCGGUGGCGAAGGCGGGACUCUGGGCCGAUACUGACGCUGAGGAGCGAAAGCGUGGGGAGCAAACAGG
This 254-nucleotide ribosomal RNA is filed under the name uncultured bacterium. Its description in RNAcentral is "partial 16S ribosomal RNA". It matches the Rfam family "Bacterial small subunit ribosomal RNA", at positions 524 to 776 of the family's 1533-position model. The record is from RNAcentral.